CGCUAGCUUUGGCUUUGAUGAAUAUUCAUGAGAACAUCUCUGGUGUGAUGGCAGCGGGGGGACUGUUUACUCCAGCGAAGAAUCAAAGGGAGGGUGCUGCUGUGUCAGAUGGCGGGAAGAAUGUGGAGGUGGGUGGACAGAAUGUAAUGGAAAUGCGUGUGUGAGCGCCUGUUUGUAUUUCAGGCUCUGGGAGACUGGGAAGGUUUGUUAAAGACACGUUGAGAGGUUGUUGCCGUGGGGACAGCUCACAUAUGGAUUAGCCUGACACCGAGAACCAGAGGUUGCAGAUACAUAUGACACGUAAACAUGUUGGGAAGAGAAUACAGGGCAUCCUUCACGGUGGACAUCGAGCAGACGGCAUUGCGACGUCUUUUGGGAAAAAAUGGAACACCAAACUGGCCAGUGUUCGAUGGGAAUCUUCUAAAUUGGAUUACAAAAAGACAGUAGAAGAGUAAAGUCAGAGGAUGAAUAGAGCCAGCAAGAGUGAUGGAAGAUGGUCACUGAAGAUGAGCCAUGGGGGAGUGAUCAAUGGAGGCUGAACAGCAAAAGACAAGAGCCAGACAAGAUGUCAAGGCUGUACUCGGUGGUGCGGCCAACAAAGACGAAUGAUCUUAUACGAGAGAUGACUCUGAGGUCAGGCUGAUAUUGUCAUAGCACUGACUUUUUAGUUUUAUUACCAUCGACCUGCCUCACUGGAGAAUGUAUUGACUGAGAAUGUGAAUGAGCUAUCUUGGAUAUUUAUGACCGCACUUCGUUCAUGCAUUCCUGAUGCUGAAGGAAAAGCCAAAGACAAAAUGAAAGAGCUCAAUGAAUUGCAUAAAAUUUGUGAGAAUCUGUUUUUGUUGGAUGAAAUUUGUUUCUUGCAUUUCUGUCUUCAUCUGAAAACAAUUACUUGUGUAUGAAUGUAAUUCUGCAUAAAUGACCGUAUGUUGAAUUAGUAUUUGUUGUAGUAUUUCUUGUCUUAGUUUUACUGUACAGGUUUGUCUUGCUGACCUUGUAACCCAAACAACAUGUUUCCGUACUACUAACCUGUCUUACAAAAUAAGUUUUGGGAGGAAUGCAGUUGCUGUAGUAGUUGUAGAAAGCAAGUUGUAAAAGAGGUUGCACAAAGGAAAAAGUUUUGUCUCUUGAGGUCUUCGCUCUGCAACCUACAUUACACUAACUUUCUCAAAAGGCCGCAGUCCUAGCUAUAACAAGAAACUUGAGUUGGAUAAACAUAACUAUGAGGCCAUUAUUCAUGCUCAUUACCAGGAGCUCAGAGACUUCAGUGAAGUGGAGCUGAAGAAUUGAUUAGUCCAUCAGCUGAAAAUGAAUAUUAAUAUGCAAUCAGUUUGAUAACUAAUCAUUAAAGUAACAGAUAAUGUUAAUGUUAAU
Molecule: long non-coding RNA, 1374 nt
Organism: Haplochromis burtoni (Burton's mouthbrooder)
Lineage: Eukaryota; Metazoa; Chordata; Actinopteri; Cichliformes; Cichlidae
Exons: 4
Source: RefSeq, a predicted model, not a curated record